GGGGGGGCUAUACAUGCAGUCGAACGCUUCUUUUUCCACCGGAGCUUGCUCCACCGGAAAAAGAGGAGUGGCGAACGGGUGAGUAACACGUGGGUAACCUGCCCAUCAGAAGGGGAUAACACUUGGAAACAGGUGCUAAUACCGUAUAACAAUCGAAACCGCAUGGUUUUGAUUUGAAAGGCGCUUUCGGGUGUCGCUGAUGGAUGGACCCGCGGUGCAUUAGCUAGUUGGUGAGGUAACGGCUCACCAAGGCCACGAUGCAUAGCCGACCUGAGAGGGUGAUCGGCCACAUUGGGACUGAGACACGGCCCAAACUCCUACGGGAGGCAGCAGUAGGGAAUCUUCGGCAAUGGACGAAAGUCUGACCGAGCAACGCCGCGUGAGUGAAGAAGGUUUUCGGAUCGUAAAACUCUGUUGUUAGAGAAGAACAAGGAUGAGAGUAACUGUUCAUCCCUUGACGGUAUCUAACCAGAAAGCCACGGCUAACUACGUGCCAGCAGCCGCGGUAAUACGUAGGUGGCAAGCGUUGUCCGGAUUUAUUGGGCGUAAAGCGAGCGCAGGCGGUUUCUUAAGUCUGAUGUGAAAGCCCCCGGCUCAACCGGGGAGGGUCAUUGGAAACUGGGAGACUUGAGUGCAGAAGAGGAGAGUGGAAUUCCAUGUGUAGCGGUGAAAUGCGUAGAUAUAUGGAGGAACACCAGUGGCGAAGGCGGCUCUCUGGUCUGUAACUGACGCUGAGGCUCGAAAGCGUGGGGAGCAAACAGGAUUAGAUACCCUGGUAGUCCACGCCGUAAACGAUGAGUGCUAAGUGUUGGAGGGUUUCCGCCCUUCAGUGCUGCAGCUAACGCAUUAAGCACUCCGCCUGGGGAGUACGACCGCAAGGUUGAAACUCAAAGGAAUUGACGGGGGCCCGCACAAGCGGUGGAGCAUGUGGUUUAAUUCGAAGCAACGCGAAGAACCUUACCAGGUCUUGA
This 971-nucleotide ribosomal RNA is filed under the name Enterococcus faecium. RNAcentral's name for it is "bacterial SSU rRNA". It matches the Rfam family "Bacterial small subunit ribosomal RNA", at positions 41 to 984 of the family's 1533-position model. The record is from RNAcentral. Lineage: Bacteria; Bacillati; Bacillota; Bacilli; Lactobacillales; Enterococcaceae.